Molecule: ribosomal RNA, 330 nt
Filed under: uncultured eukaryote
Lineage: Eukaryota
Description: partial 18S ribosomal RNA
Rfam family: Eukaryotic small subunit ribosomal RNA
Source: RNAcentral
CCCUUAGAUGUUCGGGGCCGCACGCGCGCUACACUGAAGGAAUCAGCGCGUCUUUCUCCUUGUCCGAAAGGACUGGGUAACCCGCUGAACCUCCUUCGUGCUAGGGAUUGGGGCUUGUAAUUCUUCCCCAUGAACGAGGAAUUCCCAGUAAGCGCGAGUCAUAAGCUCGCGUUGAUUACGUCCCUACCCUUUGUACACACCGCCCGUCGCUACUACCGAUUGGAUGGUUUAGUGAGAUCCUCGGAUUGGUCCCGGCGCGGCCUCUGGUCGUGCCGGAGUGCCGAAAAGAAUGUCGAACUUGAUCAUCUAGAGGAAGUAAAAGUCGUAACA